CACCUGAUAGCACAUGGUGUGCACCUGCCUUUCCUAGCUCGGAGAAGAUAUUUCCAUUUGUAGGCAGGAGGUCCUCGUUCGACUCGGGGUCGGGUGA
Mycena alexandri is the source of this 97-nucleotide non-coding RNA. NCBI's taxonomy places the organism in Eukaryota, Fungi, Basidiomycota, Agaricomycetes, Agaricales, Mycenaceae. The record is from the annotation of a GenBank genome assembly.